RNAcentral lists this ribosomal RNA (494 nucleotides) under uncultured bacterium. RNAcentral's name for it is "bacterial SSU rRNA". It matches the Rfam family "Bacterial small subunit ribosomal RNA", at positions 29 to 496 of the family's 1533-position model. The record is from RNAcentral.
AACGAACGCUGGCGGCGUGGAUAAGACAUGCAAGUCGAGCGGAAUAAUCAGGGUAGCAAUAUUCUGGUUGUUCAGCGGCGCAAGGGUGCGUAACACGUGGGUAAUUUGCCAUGAAGUCUGGAAUAACUUGCUGAAAGGCGAGCUAAUGCCGGAUGUGACUUCCGAGGGGCAUCUCUUGGAAUUCAAAGUUGGGGACCGUAAGGCCUGACGCUUCUUGAUAAGCCCGCGGUCUAUCAGCUAGUUGGUGAGGUAACGGCUCACCAAGGCUAAGACGGAUAGCUGGUCUGAGAGGACGACCAACCACACUGGAACUGAGACACGGUCCAGACACCUACGGGUGGCAGCAGUCGAGAAUUUUCACAAUGGGCGAAAGCCUGAUGGAGCGACGCCGCGUGGGGGAUGAAUGGCUUCGGCCCGUAAACCCCUGUCAUUUGCGAACAAACCUGUCCACUUAACACGUGGAGAGCUGAUUGUAGCGGAAGAGGAAGGGACGG